This is a long non-coding RNA of Argentina anserina (silverweed cinquefoil), 811 nucleotides long. RefSeq lists it as uncharacterized. Lineage: Eukaryota; Viridiplantae; Streptophyta; Magnoliopsida; Rosales; Rosaceae. The record is from RefSeq and is a predicted model, not a curated record. The transcript has 3 exons.
CUGGGAAAGUGAGCUGGAAAGGAGUUGCAUACUACAAUCGGUUAAUAAACUACUUGCUUAAAAGAGGCAUUACUCCUUAGCAGAUUUGUAUCACUAUGAUCUUCCACUCGCUCUUGAACAAAAAUACCUUGGAUUGGGAUUGUUAAGUGACCAAGUGGUGUGGAAUUUUGCUUCAACAAGCCUAGAGUGGUGGCUGCUCUUGGCUAUGACAAUGGACUAAAAUCCUCCAGCACGGUGCUCCAAAGCUUAUGGAAAUUGCACAGCUGGGAAUUCUGGAACUGAGCCCUACAUUGCUCCACAUCAUUUAAUUUCGUCACACGCAGCUGCUGUUAAAAUAUACCGCAACAAGUUUCAAGUGAGGGAAAAUGGAUUCACGAUUCAUAAGAAAAUGCAUUAUUGAUUAGCUGAUGCUGAAGUAUGUGGAUAUUUCAGAAAACACAGAAAAGGGAAAAUAGGUAUUCUCUUGGAUUUUAACCGGUAUGAGCCACUUCCCAGAUCAAAGGCUGACAUGUAUGCAGAGCAUUUUGAUGCAAUUUAGACAUUACAGAAUUUACAAUUGUAUGUUGGAUUGGCUUUUCAACAUGUUCAUUCAUCCGAUUGUAUAUAUGGAGUAUCUGAAAAAAAUCCAAAAUAUUGUGGGCAAUAGGCUACCAAAGUUUACGAAAGAGGAGGUUAAGACGGUGAAAUGCUCAAUGGAUUAUGUAGGCAUCAACCUGUACUCAGUUUAUUACAUAUAUCUAAUUGAUACAGAAAAAAUAAGAUAUGCUUUUUGAGUCGGUUCAGUUGCAAUUUUAUCUUGCUUUAAUUGUUG